RNAcentral lists this long non-coding RNA (785 nucleotides) under Mytilus galloprovincialis (Mediterranean mussel). Lineage: Eukaryota; Metazoa; Mollusca; Bivalvia; Mytilida; Mytilidae. The record is from RNAcentral.
UUCCCUCUGUAUGUAAAUUAAGUUUUCUUGCUAAAUCUUCGGUCACAAAUGAUCGCUGUGAUCCCUCGUCAAAAAGUAUAUGGGUAUCUAUACAUAAGUUGUCUGACCAUACUGGUGCGACGGCAGUUUUCAAAAGUACAUGCGUGCGUACGUCAUUUGACGAGGAGUGUAGAAUUGUAGUGUCCUCUUCUUUCUGAUUUGUAUCAUUUACAAUAUUUACAGAUGUCUGAUUCAAAUUUGGUGAGUUCUGUAAAUGUCCAUUGCUAAUAGGAAAAUUCGUAUUCUGUGGGCUGUCAUUUGCAUUUUGCUGGAUAUGUCUGCUGGUGUCAUUAUCAUGGACAAUGUUGCUGUUAAAUGGGUUAUCGGUACACAGACUUGUGUGAUGUCUUUUAUUGCAAAUGCGGCAAAACUGAUUUGAAUAACAUUCGUGUAUACGGUGUGUACCUAGACAGUUGAAACACAAUUGUUCGCGUUUUACAAUAUCCAUGCGUGUUUCUAGAUCAGAUACAUUCGUGCAAUGCGCUGGUGCGUGUAAAUCGUGACAGAAUACACAAGGUUUAUAUUGCAAAUUCUGGUGUGUAUGUCUCCUAUCUAGAGUUUGGUUUGGUGGUUUUAUCCAUUUUGUCCCGGUAAAGAAAGACGAUGCACUUGGUAAAUUGUUAGAAGUUUCAGUGUCUUGUCCCGCGUCAAUUAUGUUUAUUUCAUUGCAAAUACUUUUCCGGAGGUCUCGUAAUAACCAGUUUUCUGUUCCAUGUUCACGGGCAAGGUUUUUUUUAAUUUCUCCC